CACACACACACACACACACACACACACACACACACACACACAUCAGAAGCACAAACAGCUCAUCCAGCCACUGGCCUUCACCUUUGACCCCGGUAACAGCGUGGCUUACCUGCUUAGAGGUGAGCAGGAGACCGAGGAGGAGCAGACUGAGAGGACGGUGGUGUGAGAGCGCUGGAGCAUGUAGACGAGCACUAGAGGACGCUGUGACCCCAUAAACUCCUCGUGACUGAUGUGUCAACAGUUGCAUCAUGAGCGACUCUUUAAAGCAUUGACUGAAGUGUCUCUCUCUCCUUCACGGCUGAUUUCACUGCGAUUAGGAGACGCUUUGAGUGAUCAGAUGCACAACUUUCAACCAUAAAACAGUUUAAAAUUCCCAUAGAUGCACAUUAAAGGAGGAACCCAAGUCAUAUCUACAGACCAGAGGAUCACAGAGACGCGAUAAAUCACCCAGAAUGCCCUUGCAUCAAGCUGGAACAGCCAGAAUGAUGGAAAGCCACAGACACUCAAUAAUCUCUCAGUCCUCAGACGUGUGAGAUCGACUCUGGGAUGACUGUCAGCUCACAAAUGUAUUUCUGGCUUGUCAGCAGUGAAUGAGCAGUGUGUGUUUGCACCCACACACAGACAUCCAUUAGACGAUUCACCGAUUAAACCUCAACACGCUCUGAAUCUCAAUAACGUUACUUCAUGAAGAUCAGAGGCGGAGUUUUCCUGAUGCAUCACAUCAGAAGCAACAAGAGCUUCUCCACCCACUUUACUUUCAUCAUGCAUCGGAAAUAGUAUAAGGUUAGUAACAAAUGUGGGAUUUUUUUGCGCUUAUUUGUUAGAUAUUUUAAACUCCAGCUUGUCUCUGGCCUUCUAAUCUAAAUAGUCCUUUGUUUUUUAGGUUUAUAACCCUAAAAUUACCCAUGCAAAGUCAAUUAUCACACUAAUUAAUUUCUGGUUCAAAAGCAGAAUU
Long non-coding RNA from Cyprinus carpio (common carp), 955 nucleotides. RefSeq lists it as uncharacterized. Lineage: Eukaryota; Metazoa; Chordata; Actinopteri; Cypriniformes; Cyprinidae. The record is from RefSeq and is a predicted model, not a curated record. The transcript is spliced from 8 exons.